GACGAACGCUGGCGGCGUGCCUAACACAUGCAAGUCGAGCGGGGACGGGUCCGACACUGGGUAUUUGGUCAUAGACGCGUGGGAAGAGCCGGCGUUUAUGCACAAACAUCCUUAAUAUAGGGAUAUUGAGAUGAGAGUUUGUGCAUCACGCUAAUUUAAGUGCCUGGCACAAAAGCAGGUUAAGGAGUGCAGACUGAGUACCGAGUGUUGGGCCCGUCCCAGCGGCGGACGGGUGAGUAACGCGUGGGUAACCUGCCUUAUACUGGGGGAUAACACUGGGAAACCGGUGCUAAUACCGCAUAACAUCACGGAGGGGCAUCCUUCUGUGAUCAAAGGAGUAACAUCCGGUAUAAGAUGGGCCCGCGUCCGAUUAGCUAGUUGGUAGGGUAACGGCCUACCAAGGCGACGAUCGGUAGCCGGACUGAGAGGUUGGUCGGCCACAUUGGGACUGAGACACGGCCCAGACUCCUACGGGAGGCAGCAGUGGGGAAUAUUGCGCAAUGGGGGAAACCC
RNAcentral lists this ribosomal RNA (513 nucleotides) under uncultured bacterium. RNAcentral describes it as "bacterial SSU rRNA". It matches the Rfam family "Bacterial small subunit ribosomal RNA", at positions 28 to 383 of the family's 1533-position model. The record is from RNAcentral.